Molecule: ribosomal RNA, 672 nt
Filed under: Clostridioides difficile
Lineage: Bacteria; Bacillati; Bacillota; Clostridia; Peptostreptococcales; Peptostreptococcaceae
Description: partial 23S ribosomal RNA
Rfam family: Bacterial large subunit ribosomal RNA
Source: RNAcentral
GGGAUGACACAGUAGGAUAAGCUAAGCACACUGUUGGUUAUGUGUGCCCAAGCAUUGAGGCAGUCAAAGUAGGCAAAUCCGCUUUGAUAAUGCUGGGAUGUGAUGGGGAGCGAAAUUUAGUAGCGAAGUAGCUGAUUUCACACUGUCAAGAAAAGUCUCUAUCGAGGUUAAAGGUACCCGUACCGCAAACCGACACAGGUGGGUGAGGAGAGUAUCCUAAGGCCAGCGAGAGAACUGUUGUUAAGGAACUCGGCAAAAUGACCCCGUAACUUAGGGAUAAGGGGUGCCACCAUCAGGUGGCCGCAGAGAAUAGGCCCAAGCGACUGUUUACCAAAAACAUAGGUUUCUGCUAAGUCGCAAGACGAUGUAUAGGAGCUGACGCCUGCCCGGUGCUGGAAGGUUAAGGGGAUCUGUUAGAGCAAUCGAAGCAGUGAACUUAAGCCCCAGUAAACGGCGGCCGUAACUAUAACGGUCCUAAGGUAGCGAAAUUCCUUGUCGGGUAAGUUCCGACCCGAACGAAAGGCGUAACGAUUUGGGCACUGUCUCAACAACAGACUCGGUGAAAUUGUAAUUCCGGUGAAGAUGCCGGAUACCUGCGACAGGACGGAAAGACCCCAUGGAGCUUUACUGUAGCUUGACAUUGGGUCUUGGUACUACAUGUACAGGAUAGGU